AUCACUUGUCUGCUUUUUUCCCUUUCUUUCUCUCUCCCUCUCUCUCUCUCUCUUGUCUCUCGCACUCACUUACUCUUCCAUCUUUUGCCACUGUGCCAGAUAAAUUUAAAUGUAUCUGUUCAAGUGGAGAUAAUCCAUGCAAAUCAGAGCCACUGGCUCCCAAGUGCUCGAUGCACAAAGAGAACUCCGCUUCAGGAGGUCACUCGUUCACAGCUGCUCCUCCCAUUCUAUUUCUCCCCCUUCCAGCAGAACUGCUGCUUGUACACACUGACUGAAAAGGACUCAAUUUACUGCAACUGCUACCUGGUUUUACUUACAACUUUCUUUAAAGAGGGACAUACCUUCCAGCUAUCUUGCAAAGAAAGAUCAGAGGAUACCAGAAACCCCCACUGAGCAAAGAUGACUUUUUCUUGAACAGAACAGAAGCAGCAUCAGCAGCCUUAGAUAAAGGUAUACAGCUUUUAGGACAUCCCAUCAUCUGGUGUGGGGAACUAUGGAACUGAAGCUAGGUGGUAAAUUUUGAAGUACAGGAGUUCAUCAUGACAGGCCUCACAGCUGUGCCCCCAAGGAGAAUCCAAAAAUUCAGGGUACUUUUGGCACAAUGAUAAAUUUCAUCUUCCCCAGAAUGUGCCUGCUGUUAUCACGUCCAGACAAUAUGCUGAUUUACUUCUCCCAAACAAGUGCUUUCCUUAUUGAAAAC
Podarcis muralis (Common wall lizard) is the source of this 700-nucleotide non-coding RNA. The record is from RefSeq and is a predicted model, not a curated record. NCBI's taxonomy places the organism in Eukaryota, Metazoa, Chordata, Lepidosauria, Squamata, Lacertidae.